CGGGUAUAACAAGUAAGAUAAAUAUCUCAUGCUUUCAGCGUCAAAUUCACGAGUUCUUUCUUCGGCAGAGCUAGACUCGAUCUUUUCAAAUUUGAUCCGGGGUAGCCAGCCGUGAUCAGUUACAAGUUCUGCUCAUUUUUUUUUCAAUAUGUAGAUGAAUGAUUGAUGGACGAAAUUAAUUUACCUCAAUAAUUGUUCCAAUGCCAGAGGGAAUCAAAAGCAGCAUUGAUGACUGCUCAUUAAGAAGAUACAAGAAUAUCACUGCUUGGCUAAAAGCUCGCCAAACUACAGUGCGUACACUCAGUCCUGCAAGGUUGUUCUUGCCACGCCAGAAAUUCACAUCGUUUUUCAAAGCAAGAAAGUCAAAUAGAAGCUGUAAUACACGAAAAAAUAGGUAUACAUUGGUAUCGGCGAAAAUACCUUUUACUUCAUCUACGUCUUUAUCUGAGAAGCCCAGACUCUUCAGUCCUUGCAUGGCUGCUUCUACAUGCAAUAUCAAUCUCAAUUUCCCAAGUGAUAUUGGGGUAUAAAAGACUGUAACAUUCAUAGUCUCAUUAUCCGGUAAUAUUUUCAUCAAGUCUCUAUGCCGAGUUUGGAGAAAGUCAUAAUUUACGAUUGGUAGAAACAUUCCAUCUCUUGUUAUACUGUGGAUAUAUAGGAAUGAUAUUUUAAUUUAUUUUUUUUAACUAUUGGGAAAGUUCCAUUCUAUGUUUGAUAAGCUCAAUGUAUACCUUAUGUCUCUGGCGAGUUCCAGAGGUAAGCUAUGAGCAGGUAACUUUAUAUUAUCUGUUAUCAUUGUGAAAGUAAUUUGACUUUUCAAGUGUGACACAGGUUUCAUUAAAAGUUCUUUUUUGUUAGCAGAUUCCUCAGUUUUCAGCAAAUUAAAAGCUGCAAUUUCCGGAAUGGUAUACUGAGUCAUUUUUAUUCUAGUAUAAACCGUAGUUGGAUCCUAGAAUAAAGAAGUUUUUGACUCAUUAUUUAAAUGUGUUCUGAUUACUUGAUUCAUUUCGCUCGUGAAUGUAUAAAAAUCUAUCAUUUUUCGACGUAGAGUUGAAAAAAUGACAUUAUAGUUUUGAGGAUUAAUCUUCAACUUGCCUUGAUAAUUUCGUUGUAUGAAUUACUAUGCUUUUCACUGUGUGGUGUGAUUAACAAAUGUAGAUAUAACGUUCCAUUUUUGCGAGUCUUAUGGGGAAUUGGCAACAUUAUCUGGCUGUAAUAUGGAAAAUGCGUAUACAUUUUCAAUAAAGUAAAUAAACGGUCUAGAUAAA
Molecule: long non-coding RNA, 1268 nt
Organism: Athalia rosae (coleseed sawfly)
Lineage: Eukaryota; Metazoa; Arthropoda; Insecta; Hymenoptera; Athaliidae
Exons: 3
Source: RefSeq, a predicted model, not a curated record